AUGGAGGUGAAGGUGCUGAGCUCCAGGCUCGUCAAGCCCGCCUACAAGGCCGGCGCUCCAGCCACGGAGCACAUCCCCCUGUCCGUCUUCGACACGGUCACGUACCAGAUCCAGAUGGCCAUCAUCUACGCCUUCGCGCCGCCCGCGCCGUCCACCGCCGCCAUCGAGAAGGGCCUCACGGCCGUCCUCGCGCAGUACCGCGCGUUUGCCGGGCAGCUCGGCGAGUCCCCCGACGGCGCGCCGGCCGUGGUCCUGAAUGACCGUGGCGCACGCCUCGUGGAGGCGUCCGUGGACGCCGACCUCGUCGACAUGGCGCCGGCCAAGCCCACGCCGGCGCUGCUCAAGCUGCACCCGGACCUGGACGCGGAGCACCAGGAGGUGGUGGUGCUGCAGCUCACGCGGUUCCGCUGCGGCUCCCUCGCCGUCGGGUUCACGUCCAAGCACGUCGUCGCCGACGGCCACGCCACCAGCAACUUCCUAGUCGCCUGGGGCCGCGCCACCAGGGGGCUGCCCAUGGGCGUCCCGCCCGUGCACCACCAGAAGGACCUCUUCAAGCCGAGGUCCUCGCCAGCUCGCCCGGAGCACGACCACCGCAGCAGGGAGUACCACCGGCCGUCGCCCACCGCCGCCGCCGCCGGCCACCAUCACGGGGACGACGGCGCCGAAAGCAACAUCGUCAUCCACAAGGCGCACUUCACCAAGGACUUCAUCGCGGGGCUCCGCGCCAGGGCCUCGGAGGGGCGCGGGCGGCCGUUCAGCCGGUUCGAGACCAUCCUCGCGCACCUCUGGCGCACCAUGACGCGCGCGCGCGACCUGAGCCCCGGCGAGGCCACGUCGAUCCGGAUAUCGGUGGACGGGCGGCACCGGGUGGGCAGGCCGGCGGAGUACUUCGGCAACCUGGUGCUCUGGGCGUUCCCGCGGGCCACGGCGGGCGAGCUGCUGAGCCGGCCGCUGAAGCACGCGGCGCAGGCGAUCCACGACGAGGUGGCGAGGGUGGACGGCGCCUACUUCCAGUCCUUCGUUGACUUCGCGUCCUCCGGCGCGGCGGAGAAGGAGGGGCUGGCCCCGAGCGCCGUGCUCAAGGACGUGGUGUGCCCGGACGUGGAGGUGGACAGCUGGCUGACGUUCCCGUUCUACGAGCUGGACUUCGGCACGGGGAGCCCCAGCUACUUCAUGCCGUCCUACUUCCCGACGGAGGGGAUGCUGUUCCUGGCGCCGUCCUACCUCGGCGACGGCAGCGUAGACGCCUUCGUCCCCGUCUUCCGGCACAACCUGCAGGCCUUCAAGGAAUGCUGCUACUCCAUGGAGUAG
This 1311-nucleotide ribosomal RNA is filed under the name Triticum aestivum (bread wheat). RNAcentral describes it as "partial small subunit ribosomal RNA". The record is from RNAcentral. Lineage: Eukaryota; Viridiplantae; Streptophyta; Magnoliopsida; Poales; Poaceae.